AUUGAACGCUGGCGGCAGGCCUAACACAUGCAAGUCGAGCGGAACGGCUGACGGGUGAGUAAUGCCUAGGUAUCUGCCUGGUAGUGGGGGACAACGUCCGGAGAAGGGCGCUAAUCCCACAUACUCUCAGUUGAGCCUAGGGCGGAUUAGCUAGUUGGGGGGGUAAAGGCCUACCAAGGCGACGAUCCGUAACUGGUCUGAGAGGAUGAUCAGUCACACUGGAACUGAGACACGGUCCAGACGCCGACGGGAGGCAGCAGUGGUGAAUAUUUGACAAGGGGCGAAAGCCUGAUCCAGCCAUGCCGCGUGAGUGAAGAAGGUCUUCGGAUUGUAAAGCACUUGAAGUUGGGAGGCGUUACCAACAGAAUAAGCACCGGCUAACUUCGUGCCAGCAGCCGCGGUAAUUC
RNAcentral lists this ribosomal RNA (407 nucleotides) under uncultured bacterium. RNAcentral's name for it is "partial 16S ribosomal RNA". It matches the Rfam family "Bacterial small subunit ribosomal RNA", at positions 30 to 526 of the family's 1533-position model. The record is from RNAcentral.